This is a long non-coding RNA of Neodiprion virginianus, 698 nucleotides long. RefSeq lists it as uncharacterized. The transcript has 2 exons. The record is from RefSeq and is a predicted model, not a curated record. Lineage: Eukaryota; Metazoa; Arthropoda; Insecta; Hymenoptera; Diprionidae.
CCGAUCGUAAAAAAAUGAACAAAGGACUUUUAAAUUUUACUCAAAAAUCGUGAGACGCGUGGCGUUGCGACGCGGUAAAUAAGCAGGUAUAAAAGGAUUGGGAAAACGGGCGAAGAGCACAGUUGGAAAACCUUCGUUGACCCGCUAAAACCAUCAACCAUGAAGUCCGCCACGCUUUUGCUGAUUCUGACCGUCGCAAUCGUUGCCGCUGUCUUGCCGGCCGUCAAUGCCAAGCCUCACAUGCGGCGAAGUCCAGGCACAGACGCCAUCACCGGUUCUGGCUCCAAGGGCAGUUCCGACGGUUCCAGUACGUCUGACGGGGCUGCGACCGACACUGAUUCAACAUCAAAGGGAUUGGUGUCUGCAAAUGAUUUGGGUGUAGCGGCUCCGGUCAUCCCGACCAAGUAGUGAGAAGAUCUAAGUUCGAAGAACCAAGCCGUGUCUAAUUAUUAUUCCAUAUGCAUAUACAAAUCAUAUAUAUCUAUAUCUUCAACCAGGGUAGUUAAGAAUUUUACCGAAGGUCUGCGUUACGACAUUCUGUUUCGAUACAGCUUGAGCACGACUUCGGACCUCGAAACCCGAGGUUUUGCAAAAAAUCCGAAUUUACGACAACGGUAGAAAUAAAAUUACCAAAAAUAUGUAUCCAACCUGCACAGAGACACGUUGCAUUGAAAAUAAAAUUGUGCUUGUAUGAAAAA